This 460-nucleotide ribosomal RNA is filed under the name uncultured bacterium. RNAcentral's name for it is "partial 16S ribosomal RNA". It matches the Rfam family "Bacterial small subunit ribosomal RNA", at positions 338 to 795 of the family's 1533-position model. The record is from RNAcentral.
CCUACGGGUGGCAGCAGUGAGGAAUAUUGGUCAAUGGCCGCAAGCCUGAACCAGCCAAGUCGCGUGAAGGAAGAAUGCUCUACGGUUUGUAAACUUCUUUUAUAAGGGAAUAAAGUGAGGCACGUGUGCCUAUUUGGAUGUACCUUAUGAAUAAGCAUCGGCUAACUCCGUGCCAGCAGCCGCGGUAAUACGGAGGAUCCGAGCGUUAUCCGGAUUUAUUGGGUUUAAAGGGAGCGUAGAUGGGUUGUUAAGUCAGUGGUGAAAGUUUGCGGCUCAACCGUAAAAUUGCAAUUGAUACUGGCAGUCUUGAGUACAGUUGAGGUAGGCGGAAUUCGUGGUGUAGCGGUGAAAUGCUUAGAUAUAACGAAGAACUCCAAUUGCGAAGGCAGCUUACUAAACUGCAACUGACAGUGAGGCUCGAAAGUGUGGGUAUCAAACAGGAUUAGAUACCCCUGUAGUC